Molecule: long non-coding RNA, 6980 nt
Organism: Sparus aurata (gilthead seabream)
Lineage: Eukaryota; Metazoa; Chordata; Actinopteri; Spariformes; Sparidae
Source: Ensembl
GAAACCGUGGAUGAACGCUUGUUCGCUUGCGUCUUUGUUGAUGGAGGGAGCCGCGAGCAUGCUGAACCCCUGGAGUCUCAGUAUCCACAUGUAAAGAGGUCUCUACAGAGAGUGUUUGAGUGUGCCUACGCUCAGCUGGUCCUGCCUUGGUAUGCCGUUCCCGAGCCGUGCGAGCACCAGCCUCUGCACCAGGUGCUCAGCAGGGAAGUCGACUACAUAAUCGACCAGAUCAUUGAGAGAGCCAAAGACUUUGAUGUCUGCCAGGCGGUUGUGGGCUCCAUUCGGAUUCUGACCCAGCACUUACAUAAUGCAAAGCAGCCAGACAGGUGAGAUUUUACACCUACUUCCUCUUUAAUUGAGAUUCAUGCUGCUUCAGCUACUCUGUGCUCUCAGAUAUGUGUCUGAACCCCAUAAAAACCUUCAUAUUUCUUUAUCACCUGGGAAUAAGUUACCCAAGUUUUACAAGAUCAUACCCGCACUGACAUCCUAACGAUUGUUCCUGUCCUAAAUGGUGUUUCAAGAGCAGUAAAUCCCCUCAGAUUUAACACUUAGAUUAAGCGAUUAUCAGAUAUGUGGUGAUAAGCAUCUAUGAUCCAUUAAUCACUUGUGUUGUGCUUCCUGUUUCAGAGAGCUCUUGUUCACUUCCAGAGCAGAGGAGAUGGCGGUCCUCCGAGAGUUUUCCGACGCUCUGGUACGUAACCUUUUUCCCGAAUCCCUCUGGAACCAAGAAGUCAACCGCUGUGCCUUAAAUGAGAUCAUUGCCUUAAAGGGUUUGGGCCUGUUGGUGACAUGGCUGUCUGACCCCGACAACCUGAACCAGCUGGUGGUGAGCCAGCUUGACAGCGUGUCCCCUAAAGGCUCUGUGGAGGAGCUGAGUGGAUCAGACCUGGAUCAAACCUCUCUGGCUUCACAGGAGGGCCAAUGCGAGGGCGGCGAAGCGAGCUUGGAGGGAGCAGGGAUACAAACCCGCACCAGGAGCAAGGCCAAAAGGAAAGGGAACAAGCUCAAAGAAGGAUGGUCAAAGUUUGUGGACAAGAUGAAGUCCAAAAAGGCCAAGAAGAAGAAGAUGAAGAAGUUGGAGCACGAGCUGGUGUUGAGGGUCAUGGCGAUCCAGGGAGACGCGUCCAACGACGAGGACGUCAGCAGCAGGGAGGGCUCCAUUCACAGCCAGCAGGACUCUGACAGGGAGGACAGCGAUCUGGAGAACUACCUGACAAGCGUCCAAGAGGACAUGAUGGAAUUCAAGCUGUCUUAUGAGAUGUGGCGUGUCGGUCGCUGGGCUGUCAGCAUCCCUCAUGCCGACUGUGAGGAAGAGGAGCUGAUCUUCACCGUUCACCUUGAGGAGAAGGACAGCCCAGAGAACCUGCAGUGGGACAUCAGAAAGACCUACAUGGAUGUUAUAUACUUCCGCAACAGAUGGCAGGACUCGACCAGCCUGCCCAUGAUCCUGGUGCUAGAGGAAUCAGAGAUUAACGAUGAGAAGGCCAAAGAAGAAGCCAGAGUAUCGGUGGAGAACUUCCUACAGGAAUUAGUUUCUGAUAAUCUCAUCGGGCACACUCAGCCGGUGUUUCAGUUCCUCUGCCCUCUCGAGAAACUGCUGAAUGAGGAGGAACAUUACGGAGGCGUGUGGGGACUUCUGAGCGGUCUGGCUUACUUCCUGACUCCAGGUCAAGAGGAAGAAGAGAGCUCCAGCCCUCAGAUAGAAGCCCCGAAAGAAUUCCUAUCACGAUCUUCACAUCUAGAAUCCACACCUCUGCCUUUAGAAAACCCUGGUGCCUCUACCAAGAUGGGCAUUAAUGUUCCAGAUGCUGCAAUCCCAUCUAUUGUGAUUUCCGAAUGCGAUCCUCCUUCAGAGCCGCCUGAGGGAGCAGAAACUGAGAAGGAGCCGGCAAACGAAAACUGCUCCCAGGACAAAACGGAGGACUCUGAUAAUCCCUUAACCUCUCACUUCAAAAUGAUUUUCAAAGGACUGACCCGAUCCAGGUCGCAGGAUUCUCUCGCCUCAACAAAAACCAACGGAGAUGAAGACCAACCCGAUUUGGAUUCCACGCCACACUGCAGCCAGAACGGAGGCUUGCACGGGGAUAGCGUAGACGGCCCAUCGUGGCUUCAUUUCAGUACGAGGUCAAAUAAAAAGGAGAAAAUAUGUUUCAAGAUGUCGGUCGGAGCGCACAAAGCUAAGGGGAAGGAUCAGGGCACUCUGACACGAGGGGAGGACGCCCAGGGUCAGAAGAGCCAAGUUAACUGGGAGCAGCUGGAAGGAGCCAAAGCCAUAUUUGACCUGCUGAAGGAAAUAUGUGGAAACUCCAUCCUCAUAAACAUAUUUGAUGCCAUUUUGAAGCCUGUUAUGCCCAUCCUGAAAAAAAAAGUGAACUCUUUCCUCAACAAGAUGAACCCAACAGAAGUGCAGAUGGCCGCGUACAUCGACACCAUGCGUGACAAACAGUGGCCAGAGUUUCAGCCGGCUGCACCUCCCCCUCCUCGCACCGACGAGGAGAAGAACGAGACGAGGGAGAGAGCGCACAGCUUAAUCAGCGCCAGAUAUUCUAACUAUCUCGUCUUGAAGAAGACGGACAUGGACUCCGCUUUUAAUCUUUUCCAGAACAGCGAAGAAAACAAAACGCUGGUGUAUAUCCUCCUGUCGUUCCUGUUGAAGGAAUUCUUUCCCAGUGAGCAUUCCUUGCAUGUGAGCGCUGCUGCUCUCCAGAAAGUAACCAACGCCAACAACUGAUCUGUGAAGCCUUGAUUGUAUUUUUAAUGGUACUUUUUUUUUUAAAAAAAAUACGCUUUAGAAUAUCAAAUUAUUUAUUAAAUGAAAUGAUCUUAAAUGCCUUAAAAUAGUUGUGACAGUGUCUGCAUGGAUGUGAGACAUUUUUUUAUUUUUAUUUUUUACCUCAAACAUAUCAAACAUACUGUGAACACUUUGUGAAGUUCCUUUUGGUUUUUAUUUUGUAUAGUUGAUCUGCAUUUGUUGGUGAAAUUUAGAAAACAGUCUUUGCAUAUUGUACUUUUAUUUUAAAAACUCUGAAGAGAAAGUAAAUUGUAUUUCAUAUUUCCAGUUUGAAUUUCACCCUUUAACAUUCUGAUGGAGGAGAAUUUAAAUUUUUCGAAAAAUAUUUUGUGUCACUUUGAGCACUUGUGUACGGUGAGAGUGUUUGUAUACUGGUUAAUUAGGCUUUAAGAUUUUUAUCAUAGAAUAUUUCACAGUGCCGAAUCACCUUUAAUCUGUCAAAGCCGUCAGCAGGCCUGCAAAAAAUCAAAGGACGCUUGAAGUAGUGUUAAUGUAAAUAACUUGAAUUUAUUCCAAAUAAAAUAUUUUAAUACGUUUUGUUUUCCAUUGUGUUUCUGGCUUGGUCUGUUCACGUGAGUUUAGACUGUGUAAAGGAAAAAAAAUACAGUAAAUAUAAAUUGUGAAUUAGUUGCUCAUUAUUUGCUCUGAUGCAGUGUUUGAGUAGAAUAAUGUUUUCAGAUGAGUUAAAGAAGUUAAACCCUCUGAGGCUGAACUGUGAGAUGUAUUAAUAAUUACUUAAAUUAAAAGUAUGAGGCUAAGAUGUUUUGGCAGUAUGUGUGCACUUUCACAUUUUUCUACUGGAAUUUAGAACUAAUUAGAUUUAAUUGCUGAAGAAUAUAAACAUUCCUCAGAUUUGAAUCACAUGCAUCAGUUCGAUAUGCUUUACUGAUCAGCUGAAAACAGUUUAUAGCCCGUAAACAGUGAACAACUUUCGCCAUAUUUUUAUAACCCCUAAUGGAAAUCCUGCCUCUGGUGCUCGCGCUAUCUCAUUAUGGAAGUGUAACGGAAUUAAUUACAGGAUUAUUCUGGUCCAGGUCACAGGAGGGAGAUUAUCUGGAAGCGCAACAGCGUUAAUUUAUUUUAUAUUCACUGAAGUUCCCUAGAGCAAGGUAACAAACAUCACACUGAACCCAACACUUUAAUUUACAGAAGGGAACUUGAUCCUAUUAGCAGCUUGAGGUGACGACUUGUUAGUAAAGAUAAAUACAAAAUGACAAACUCAUGAUGAAAAUAUUAACACCAGUGUUUAAAUGUUGCCCGCCCCACCACUGGUUCUCAUUCUCGUUUUGGUUGUCUAAACAUUGUUUUACCCUCUGAAUUUGAGGAACAAAAUUCAACAACAGUUGAGUAAACAAGGUCACCUUUGCUGGAGCUUUUAUGAACACACGUGGGCCUCAUCAGAAGAUAGAGUCUUCCCAGUCGUCACUGAAAUGCAGAUAGAUAGAUAACUUUCUUUUGGGGAUUAAUAAAAGAAAUUCAGGUUAUCGCAGCAGCAGGUACAUUGACUACAAAUACAAUCGAAAUACAAGGGCAAAUAUAGAAACAAUAAAAUAAUAUAUACAACACAAUGUUUUAGUAGCUGUAAAAUGAAAUGAAAAACUGAGGUAGAAGAGAAAAUGCUUAUGAUUAUCCUUGAUUUCACCAGCUAAUGAAGAUCAGGUGACGCGACUGAGAGUCCCUGAAAAGCUUCUAAACAGACCAAUUACUGUCAAAAAACAUAAUAAAGAUCUGAAACAGUUGGCAAGUCACAAUUUUACUGGAAACAAUUUAAAAAACUGGAUGGGAAUGACGGUGAUUACAAAUCACAAAAUAUCACUACCGAAAGUUUGAGAGAAGGUAUGAGUUUAAAAACAAGAAAGCUGGAUUCAUGAAAUUGUAUACAGUAGCUGUCAAAAUAGCUGUUAAUGCAAGUACCACCAAAAAAUGAACAUUUACCACCUAAGAAGGUUUCAAAGUCUGAUUAGUCUAGAAAAAUAACACAAACACAACGUUGUAAAAGAGAAUCAGCUGAAAUCUAAACCUCUUUAAUCCAGUUUUCUUGUUUCUAUACACCUGCUAAUACAUUUUUACAAUACAGUUUGUGAGAUCUAUUAUUUUAUGAUUUGUGAUCACCAUCACUCACACUGUGGCCCAAUAAAUUUCCAAUUAAAAGAGAAAUCCUCAAUUUGCAGCGAGAGGUCCAUUUAAUUGCUGUUCUGCCUGCGACUCCCAAUUAUGUCAAGUGAUCAUCCACAUACAAAUAAACAGAAAUCUUCUUAUUUUCAUUCCUUCUAUUAAUGCUUUCCCUCCAUUCUGUCCCCCUGUUUCUAUUUUCCAUUCCGUCCUAGCUGAGUUGUUCAUGUGUUCAUGCACAUUGUCUCGAGCCUUAUGCAACUGUUUCCCUGAACACUGGACCAGCAGGUGCUUUGAGUUGAACACUCCGUUGCCAGUAGCAACUAUUACUGUCGCAGUGACCAUCAUAGUGAGUUCAUCUUGGUUGUGUACUCUGGACACACAUCACGCUUUGAAAUAACAUUUCAUCUUCAUUUUUCCAUCCUUACGUCCGUCAUGAUGUGAUAAAAUGAUGUGUUGUUAUAGGACAUUAGCUGUUAGCAGUAGGUUAAAUAUAUUUUGUGCUGAAUCGUUGGCAACUGGACCUGUUUCAGUUCCUUGAAGACAUUUCGCUUCUCAUCCAAGAGGCGUCUUCAGGUCUAACUAGCUGGAUGGGAGUUGCAGACUUGCAAACUUUGUGUGGGAGUGUCCUUAUAGAGUCGUUAGGGCCACUCGUGGGUCAUUGACCCAACCGGUCUUCAUGUGGGCUGCCAGGGCCAGGUCAGCAUAGAAGGUUGGUGAUGAAUAAUGUUGUAGACCUUUAUAAGUUGUCUUGUUUCUGUAGGAUACCUUUGAUCUGACUGUUAUCUGUGAUCCCUAUCGUAACAUUGUUGUCUCAUACUUUUUGGCACUUCUUCAUUAUGUGUCCAUUCACAAAAUUCACAGCAUCCUAAAAGACUCGUUCCAGCCCGCCCAUCACCUGUUUGAACCGUUGCCCUCCGGUAAACACCUACUAGUCCAUCAAAACACACACCACAAGAUUCAUCAACAGUUUCUACCACAAAGCCAUCACCAUACUGAACUAAAAACGCACCCCCGAAACACACGUCAACACUAAUAUGCAAUCAUUUAUUAUCACAAAUGCACUUUAAUAAUAAUAAUAAUAAUAAUAAUAAUAAUACAUUUUAUUUGUUUGAUGGCACCUUUCAAGUCACCCAAGGUCAACUUACAUAGGAUAAAAGCAUAAAAUCACAGAAUAACAUCACAGAAUAUUAAAAACAAACAUUGACAUAAAAAGAAAAAGAAAAGAAAAGAAAAGUGUAGUGCACAGUGACCAGUCAGAGUGAGUAUGCCAGUUUGAACAGGUGGGUUUUGAGUUUGGAUUUGAAUACCGUCAUGGAACAUGUGUUUUGCAUACGUUAGCAAGCUGGCAUGACUGAGAGUAUAAGUGAGGAAAAUGGAUAGUGAAUGAAAGCAUUAUUUAUUGUAUAUUUAGGAUGUACUAUCUAUUUUAUUUAAGCAUUUUGUGUCCAGCACCUGAAAUUUUGUUGUAUUUUUGUACAGUGACAAAUAAAGUCAUUCUUGGACUCAAAAGUGUUAAAAGCACCACGUCAGCCUCAGCCAGCUGGCACAACAAGUGAUCACAGAGAAACUUCAUUCAAACAUCAUUUUGUCAAAUCAUGGUGGAUUUAACAAUGUGACAAAUGAAGAUGAAAUGUUUUGUCCAGCACACACGAACAUAUAAACUCACUGCUGUGGGAACUGUGACAGUUGCCACUAGCAACGAAAUGUUCUUUCCCAAAAAGGGGUCCACCCUAUGUUCCUACAGUCCAAUGCUUCCACAUUUCUAAGAUUUUUCUUCAAAUUAGGCCCUAUGUUCCCACAUUUCUAGGACAUUUCAAAAUUAGGUCUUGUGUUCCUACAUUUCCCUUCACUUUAAGGGUUAGGGUUAGGGGUUAAGGAAAGGGUUAGGGUUAGGCUAGCCCUAAGGAAAUGUGGGAACAUAGGGCCUAAUUUGGGGAAAAAAUCUUAGAAAUGUGGGAACAUAGGGCUGUGGGAACAUAGGCACGCUCUCCUAAAAACAAACAGCUUUUUUCAGUCACAUAAUUACUGUUUAAUUUGGAGGAAACGUGUAUAAAACAUGUACAACACAUCCAGG